AAUGACAAGUGCAAAUGUAAACAACAAAAGUCAGAAAUGGAUCCUGAAUAAGAAGAAGAUGUUGUGUUAAAUCUGUGGACAGCAAAAGACACUGAUUGCCUGGUGUUUUAACAGGCCCAAUAUGUUUAAUAUUUGGGUUCAGAUUCUUAAGCCUUAAAACCAUGAAAAUUUCUGCAAUAAACAAUUCUAUGCAUGUGAAAAUUAUGGCAUCUGGUUUAAGGAUCUUAAACCAGAUGCCAUACCUUCGGUUAAUCUCCCAGCCUCAAUACAAGAUCACGAUUAAAGAACGGACCACUUUUGAUCACAUAGAGAAGCAGUCAGUAACAGAAUAUGCUGAUGGAUUAAAAGUUUAAAACUGCAUCCAAGUCUUUAGUAAUAUCAUAGAAUCCUAGGUGGACAAGACGGAAAAAUGGGACAUUGAAUUCCAAAAUAAAUGGCCCAAUGAAGCUCAAUAUGAAGCAGAAUUCAUCUUGUUUCUGUAUACUUUUUGACAGCCUCAAUGUCAAAACUUACUUAAAAUGUGAUGUCAAACCUGAAAGAAGAGGAUCUUAUUUCAGGUUUGAGGAGGAAUUGGAUCUUAUACAAAUCUUGGUCAGAUAUUUUUAAAGACAACUAGAAAAAUGAUCAAUGUUCACUGACCAAGAUAAUUACCGUCAUUAAAUCUAAUGCUUCAGGACCGGACAAUAUUACUCCUUCAAUGGUAAAGAUGUGUUUAU
This is a long non-coding RNA of Anthonomus grandis grandis, 716 nucleotides long. RefSeq lists it as uncharacterized. NCBI's taxonomy places the organism in Eukaryota, Metazoa, Arthropoda, Insecta, Coleoptera, Curculionidae. The record is from RefSeq and is a predicted model, not a curated record. The transcript has 4 exons.